This 201-nucleotide unclassified non-coding RNA is filed under the name Hevea brasiliensis (rubber tree). The record is from RNAcentral. Lineage: Eukaryota; Viridiplantae; Streptophyta; Magnoliopsida; Malpighiales; Euphorbiaceae.
UGGAUUGAGAGAAAUGGAGAGAAGUGAAAAGAAAAGAAAUUUGAUUUCUCUCCAUUCCCUUGUUUGGACAUCAAGUAGAAGGGAGAAAGGAAGGGAAAUAAGAAGAUUGAGGAGAAACGCACCUCUCCUUUGUAAUUAACCCACAUCAUUUCUCUCCAAAUCGGUGGGAAUUGAGGGGAAAUGGAGAGAAAUUUAUAGUAA